RNAcentral lists this ribosomal RNA (265 nucleotides) under uncultured archaeon. RNAcentral's name for it is "partial 16S ribosomal RNA". It matches the Rfam family "Archaeal small subunit ribosomal RNA", at positions 717 to 982 of the family's 1478-position model. The record is from RNAcentral.
ACACGACUACAUUAGAUACCCCCGUAGUCCUAGCCGUAAACGAUACUCGCUAGGUGUCGGCCACGGUGCGACCGUUGUCGGUGCCGUAGGGAAGCCGUGAAGCGAGCCACCUGGGAAGUACGGCCGCAAGGCUGAAACUUAAAGGAAUUGGCGGGGGAGCACAACAACGGGUGGAGCUUGCGGUUUAAUUGGAUUCAACGCCGGAGAUCUUACCGGGACCGACAGCAACAUGAAGGCCAAGCUGAAGACUUUGCCGGAUUAGCUG